This 28-nucleotide non-coding RNA is filed under the name Mus musculus (house mouse). Lineage: Eukaryota; Metazoa; Chordata; Mammalia; Rodentia; Muridae. The record is from RNAcentral.
UACAUAAUUGUUGAAAGGUAUGCUGAGA